GAUGAACGCUGGCGGUGUGCCUAAUACAUGCAAGUCGAGCGAACAGACGAGGAGCUUACCCCUCUGACGUUAGCGGCGGACGGGUGAGUAACACGUGGAUAACCUACCUAUAAGACUGGGAUAACUUCGGGAAACCGGAGCUAAUACCGGAUAACAUGUUGAACCGCAUGGUUCAACAGUGAAAGACGGUCUUGCUGUCACUUAUAGAUGGAUCCGCGUCGCAUUAGCUGGUUGGUAAGGUAACGGCUUACCAAGGCAACGAUGCGUAGCCGACCUGAGAGGGUGAUCGGCCACACUGGAACUGAGACACGGUCCAGACUCCUACGGGAGGCAGCAGUAGGGAAUCUUCCGCAAUGGGCGAAAGCCUGACGGAGCAACGCCGCGUGAGUGAAGAAGGUCUUCGGAUCGUAAAACUCUGUUAUUAGGGAAGAACAAAUGUGUAAGUAACUAUGCACGUCUUGACGGUACCUAAUCAGAAAGCCACGGCUAACUACGUG
RNAcentral lists this ribosomal RNA (497 nucleotides) under uncultured bacterium. RNAcentral describes it as "partial 16S ribosomal RNA". It matches the Rfam family "Bacterial small subunit ribosomal RNA", at positions 28 to 507 of the family's 1533-position model. The record is from RNAcentral.